Leptonychotes weddellii (Weddell seal) is the source of this 147-nucleotide non-coding RNA. The record is from RefSeq and is a predicted model, not a curated record. Lineage: Eukaryota; Metazoa; Chordata; Mammalia; Carnivora; Phocidae.
GGAUCACAGAACAAUGACCUGAAAAGACAGUUUCUGCUGGAGCGUCUGCUGGAUGCAGUGAAACAGUGCCAGAUCCGCUUUGGAGGGAGAAAGGAGAUUGCCUCGGAUUCCGACAGCAGAGACAGAGAGACCACAAGCAGGCAGAGC